Long non-coding RNA from Seriola dumerili (greater amberjack), 529 nucleotides. RefSeq lists it as uncharacterized. The transcript is spliced from 6 exons. The record is from RefSeq and is a predicted model, not a curated record. Lineage: Eukaryota; Metazoa; Chordata; Actinopteri; Carangiformes; Carangidae.
AUUUGUAGCUGGAGGAGCUGGAGGUUUGUUGGCGCCAAAAACCGCUGCUGAUUUUAACGGUUUACACUGUAAAUCGGUCACCACGGAGAAUGAGCAUCGCAGACAAGAUGGAUGACAUGACUAAUUCCUCAAGAGCGAGAAGCAGAAAUGGUUCAGUUCCACUGAACCUGGGGAGAGGGUGAACGUCUCUGUGGCGGCGCUGUCAUGUCCAUCAAAGAUGAAUCAACAGAAUCGUGAUCGGUGGUGACGGUCAAAGUCUGUGAACCUGGCUGGCUGUGAAAAAACAUCUGGAGGUCUGAUCUGGUUCUGAUGGGGCUUUUUCUUUCAUCAUGGCCAAGUCCAAAGGAACCCUGAUGACUUUUGAAGACAUCAUAUAGGGUGAAGGUCUCCACUGGGUGUGCUCCUGUUCGGUCGAAGAAAGCAUCAUCCGUGAUCAUGGUAAUAUUCAGGUGGAGAGACGAGGAGCUGCAGUGCAUCCGUUUCUCAACUCGAGAGGAUUUUUCCACAUCGCAGCAUUAAAGUUUUUUUU